GACGAACGCUGGCGGCGUGCUUAACACAUGCAAGUCGAACGGAAAGGCCCCUUUGGGGGUACUCGAGUGGCGAACGGGUGAGUAACACGUGAGUAACCUGCCCUUGACUUCGGGAUAACUUCAGGAAACUGGGGCUAAUACCGGAUAGGAAUCCUUGCUGCAUGGUGGGGGUUGGAAAGCUUCGGCGGUUUUGGAUGGACUGGCGGCUUGUCGGCUUGUUGGUGGGGUGGUGGCUUACCAAGGCUUUGACGGGUAGCCGGCCUGAGAGGGCGACCGGCCACAUUGGGACUGAGAUACGGCCCAGACGCCGACGGGAGGCAGCAGUGGGGAAUAUUGCACAAGGGGCGCAAGCCGGAUGCAGCAACGCCGCGGGCGGGAUGACGGCCUUCGGGUUGUAAACCGCUUUCAGCAGGGGCGAAGCUUGUGGUGACGGUACCUGCAGAAGAAGCACCGGCUAACUACGUG
Molecule: ribosomal RNA, 465 nt
Filed under: uncultured bacterium
Lineage: Bacteria
Description: partial 16S ribosomal RNA
Rfam family: Bacterial small subunit ribosomal RNA
Source: RNAcentral